AGAACACAGAAUAAUAACUGUCGCAGUGAUUUUUUUAGCGUUGUUAUAUUUGUAGUUUAGUAAACACAUUAAUGCAGAAUGUCUGAUACCGGUUUGGUAAAUGUUAUAGUUUUUUACAUGUGGUGACCUGUGAGGUUUAAUCUAUUGAUAAGCGGUAACAAACAUGGAUAUAAUUGAUAAAGUUAAAAAAGAACCUUCGGAAGAAAAUGAAAUGUUAAGGGCAUUACUUAUGGGGGAAGGGAGUAUAAAACAAGAGCCUCUUCAUCCAGAAGGAGGAAUAAAACAGGAACCAGUCCAUCCAGAAGGUAGAAUAGAAGAGAAUGAAAAGAAUGGGCAACAAGUCUUCGAUGAAGAGGAAACAAAUAUCCCUUUUUUCUGUGUAAAUAAUAAUCUUCUUGAUGUGAAAUCUGAAGAUAUUCUCAUAGAUGCCAUAAAUAAUGAAAAAAGACCAGUUCCAGCCUUUGUCGCAAACAAUGAUCCUCUGAAUAUCAAAUCAGAAGAUACUAAUUUAAUAGUUCCCGAGGAAUCUCCCAAGAAUGGCAUGGUAGGAUCAAUUAUUGAGGCCGAAGAGACCAUUAAAAAGGAAUGGGGCAGUGGUCUUGAGGGAGGAAAUUCAACAAAUGCAUCAGUCUCUGGAUCUGAAAAUGAGAAACUUUUCGCCUGUGAAAUAUGCGGUCUAGCUUUUGCAUGGCCCAGUAGAUUGAAGAGGCAUGCAGUAGUUCACAAAAGCUCCUCGGAGGUUCCCAUGUAUCAAUGUGAAAAAUGUCCAUUCCAAACUAAGCAUAAAUAUAGUAUCGAAACACACAAUUCCAAUCUUCACGGAACGUCAUCACAGUUGAAAAAGUUCUCAUGUGAAAAAUGCAAAUAUGAAACUAACAGCAUAUCAUGCAUGAAAAAACACUACAUUUGGAAACAUUCGGGGUUUGCCGAGAAGAAGACAGAGAAGAAAGAUCUCGAAUGCGAAUCUUGUGAUUAUAAGACCAAAAAAAAAUAUCUGUUGAUCGCACAUUUGAGAAUUCACCAAUCGUCGACAGAACUAGACAUGUAUAAGUGUCCUCUCUGCCCAUAUCAGUCCAAACAUAAAUGUGGCGUUUCAAACCACAUGGUGAGGCACAAAAGUGUCUCUGAAACUCGAAUGUUCAAAUGCGAACUUUGCUCCUAUAAGUCCAAAUGGAGUCAUUGUCUGAGAAACCAUAUUAAAGUUCACGAAGAGAAUUCAGAACAUGUGACAAUCCGUAAAUGCGAAAUUUGUGAAUUCACAACGAACAAUAUAUACAGCCUGGAAACUCACAUGAAAUCACAUCAAGCGAAACCUAAAAGAACUUUCACAUGUUACACUUGUGGACAUCAAACUAAAGAAAAAGGUCAUCUUGUACGUCAUAUGUUGGUUCAUAAACCUUUAGGGCAACUGGAAUUGUUUGAAUGUGCUGUGUGUGGCUUUCGAACAAAAACUAAAAAGGGUUUGAGGAAUCACAUCAUGACUGUCCAUGGACCUGGGGCUAAUAUCCAGAUCAAACCAAACUUUUAAAUCACCUCAUUUCCAAAAUGUCAUCGAAUGAAAUUAUAAAAGUGGAUCGGAUUUUCUUAUUCAACUAUACUAAGUGACAAAGAAAGUUGUCUUGAGGGAGGAAAUUCAGCAAAUGCAUCAGUCUCUGGAUCUGAAAAUGAGAAACUUUUCGCCUGUGAAAUAUGCGGUCUAGCUUUUGCAUGGCCCAGUAGAUUGAAGAGGCAUGCAGUGGUUCACAAAAGCUCCUCGGAGGUUCCCAUGUAUCAAUGUGAAAAAUGUCCAUUCCAAACUAAGCAUAAAUAUAGUAUCGAAACACACAAUUCCAAUCUUCACGGAACGUCAUCACAGUUGAAAAAGUUCUCAUGUGAAAAAUGCAAAUAUGAAACUAACAGCAUAUCAUGCAUGAAAAAACACUACAUUUGGAAACAUUCGGGGUUUGCCGAGAAGAAGACAGAGAAGAAAGAUCUCGAAUGCGAAUCUUGUGAUUAUAAGACCAAAAAAAAAUAUCUGUUGAUCGCACAUUUGAGAAUUCACCAAUCGUCGACAGAACUAGACAUGUAUAAGUGUCCUCUCUGCCCAUAUCAGUCCAAACAUAAAUGUGGCGUUUCAAACCACAUGGUGAGGCACAAAAGUGUCUCUGAAACUCGAAUGUUCAAAUGCGAACUUUGCUCCUAUAAGUCCAAAUGGAGUCAUUGUCUGAGAAACCAUAUUAAAGUUCACGAAAAGAAUUCAGAACAUGUGACAAUCCGUAAAUGCGAAAUUUGUGAAUUCACAACCAACAAUAUAUACAGCCUGGAAACUCACAUGAAAUCACAUAAAGCGAAACCUAAGAGAACUUUUACAUGUUACACUUGUGGACAUCAAACUAAAGAAAAAACAUCUCUUGCAUAUCAUAUGUUGGUUCAUAAACCUUUAUGGCAACUGGAAUUGUUUGAAUGUGAUGUGUGUGGCUUUCGAACAAAAACUAAGAAGGGUUUGAAGAAUCACAUCAUGACUAUCCAUGGACCUGGGGCUAAUAUCCGGAUCAAACCAAACUUUUAAAACACCUCAUUUUCAAAAUGUCAUCGAAUGAAAUCAUAAACGUAGAUCGAAUUUUCUUAUUCAAAUAUAAUCAACAAAUAAUGUAAAAUUUAAUUCAGUCUUUAAAUAGAUAUCUGAAAUUUG
Molecule: unclassified non-coding RNA, 2671 nt
Filed under: Leptinotarsa decemlineata (Colorado potato beetle)
Lineage: Eukaryota; Metazoa; Arthropoda; Insecta; Coleoptera; Chrysomelidae
Description: zinc finger protein 91-like, transcript variant X1
Source: RNAcentral